CUUCAGCAGUUUAAUCCCUGCUGGCAGAUUCUGCAACUACAACUACAACAACUACAAUACAACUACAACAACAACUACAACUACAUCUACAACUACAACAACUACAAUACAACUACAUCUACAACUACAACUAUAACUACAACAAAAACUACAUCUACAACUACAACAACUAUAACUAAAACUACAUCUACAACUACAACAACAACAACAACAACUACAACUACAACUAGAACUACAACAACUAAAUCUAAAACUACAACAACUACAACAGCAACUACAUCUACAUCUACAACUACAACAACAACUAUAACUACAACUACAUCUACAACUACAACAACUACAACAACAACAACAACAACAACUAUAACUACAACAACAACUAAAUAUAAAACUACAACAACUACAUCUACAACUACAACAACUACAACAGCAACUACAUCUACAACUACAACUAUAACUACAACUAAAACUACAUCUACAACUACAACAACAACAACAACAACUACAACUACAACUAGAACUACAACAACUAAAUCUAAAACUACAACAACUACAACAGCAACUACAUCUACAUCUACAACUACAACAACAACUAUAACUACAACUACAUCUACAACUACAACAACUACAACAACAACAACAACAACAACUAUAACUACAACAACAACUAAAUAUAAAACUACAACAACUACAUCUACAACUACAACAACUACAACAGCAACUACAUCUACAUCUACAACUACAACAACAACUAUAACUACAACUACAUCUACAACUACAACAACUACAACAACAACAACAACAACAACUAUAACUACAACAACAACUAAAUAUAAAACUACAACAACUACAUCUACAACUACAACUAUAACUACAACAAAAACUACAUCUACAACUACAACAACUAUAACUAAAACUACAUCUACAUCUACAACUACAACAACAACUAUAACUACAACUACAUCUACAACUACAACAACUACAACAACAACAACAACAACAACUAUAACUACAACAACAACUAAAUCUAAAACUACAACAACUACAACAACUACAACAACAACUAUAACUACAUCUACAACUACAACAACAACAACUAUAACUACAACAACAACUACAUCUACAACUACAACAUCAACUACAUCUACAACAACUACAUCUACAACUACAACUACAUCUACAACAACAACAACAACCACAACCACAUCUACAACAACUACAUCUACAACUAUAACUACAUCUAAAACUACAACAACAACUACAUCUACAUCUACAACUAAAACUACAUCUACAACUUAA
Carassius auratus (goldfish) is the source of this 1299-nucleotide long non-coding RNA. The record is from Ensembl. Lineage: Eukaryota; Metazoa; Chordata; Actinopteri; Cypriniformes; Cyprinidae.